CUUGUGCACUGCAGCAGCACUCUCUCUUUGUCUUGCUUAUGUAGAUGUACAGCACCAGCAGCUGUUGGUGGUCAUACAUAUUUCAGACCAAAUGUGUGUAUUGGGCACAGCCCAAGAGAGAACUUUCUGUGAAUGUGGUGAUGCAUGUGACUGUCAUGUUUAUAUAACAUCCAUAUUUAAAAUAUGCAUAUCUUACUGCAUAAUAAGACAGCACGCUUUACUUCUGCCCUGCAAAUUCUGGAAUGAAAUCAUUUCUUGUAACGUUUGUCCAGUGCACAAGAUCUUUCUCUAUUUUCUCUCUCACUUCAGUUUUCCUCAGUUAUUUUUCACUGACACUUAUUACGGUGGUUGAGGAUCCAGGCUGUGACUGCAGGCUGAAUGCCAAAGUUCCCGUUAAAGCCAGCUAUAGUUUUGCCUGAAUAAGGACCAGAGGACCUAGCCAGAUCUUGUAGGAUAAAAGGGAUCCUCUUACUGGGGGAAGACAGAGAACAGAGAUCCUGUACAGUCCUUGGGAAGACAU
RNAcentral lists this long non-coding RNA (520 nucleotides) under Gallus gallus (chicken). The record is from RNAcentral. Lineage: Eukaryota; Metazoa; Chordata; Aves; Galliformes; Phasianidae.